This is a small nuclear RNA of Suncus etruscus (white-toothed pygmy shrew), 108 nucleotides long. The record is from RefSeq and is a predicted model, not a curated record. NCBI's taxonomy places the organism in Eukaryota, Metazoa, Chordata, Mammalia, Eulipotyphla, Soricidae.
AUGCUCGCUUUGGCAGCACAUAUACUAAAAUUGGAACGAUACAGAGAAGAUUAGUACAGACCCUGCACAAGAAUUAUGUGGGAUUCUGAAUCAGUCCCUUAAACAAUU